Molecule: long non-coding RNA, 572 nt
Filed under: Pongo abelii (Sumatran orangutan)
Lineage: Eukaryota; Metazoa; Chordata; Mammalia; Primates; Hominidae
Description: lincRNA
Source: RNAcentral
GAAAGCCACAGUUUGUGUGAAUCGCAGAGAGCAAAAUGGCAAACUGAAGACACAAUCUCAUGACAAUAGAGACGUAAUAGACAUCUUUUCACCGAAUAAGUUAAAGAGGAGCUCUUUCUGAGAUGAAGAGAACUCUCAAUGUCAAGAUUUCAACAAGAAGAGAAUGGAAUACACGAUACGGACAUCCAUAAAAAUUCUUCAGAGGGUGUUUUACUACUGAGCUGCAAAGGGAAAAACUUAAAAUGGAUAUGAAAAGUGAAGAAAGUGAUCAUAGGAGAAAACCAUUUCAGAUGACAAGAGCACCUCAAAGGCAGCAGCCUCAAGAAGCAGCCAUGGCCCCAGAGUUGUCCCACGGAUGCAGAAAACUUAAUGGAGGAGGCUGAGGUCAGAAUGGGAAGAGUUUUUAAAAAGUAAAAAGGGGAGCUAAUAUGUGAGGAACUGAUUGCUGUGCAUUAUUUUCCGCUGAACAGACCACAGACCUUCUUUUAACUUCUAAUCUCAAGCACAUAGCAGCUGUUGUUUUCAUAUUAAAGAUCAGUAAGUGUUUGUUGAAUGAAUGUAUAAAUUCUUCC